This 400-nucleotide ribosomal RNA is filed under the name uncultured bacterium. Its description in RNAcentral is "bacterial SSU rRNA". It matches the Rfam family "Bacterial small subunit ribosomal RNA", at positions 355 to 752 of the family's 1533-position model. The record is from RNAcentral.
UAAGGAAUAUUGGUCAAUGGACGGAAGUCUGAACCAGCCAUGCCGCGUGGAGGAUGAAGGUCCUCUGGAUUGUAAACUUCUUUUAUAGGGGGCGAAAAAGGGUCUUUUUAGAUCAACUGACGGUACCCUAUGAAUAAGCACCGGCUAACUCCGUGCCAGCAGCCGCGGUAAUACGGAGGGUGCAAGCGUUAUCCGGAUUCACUGGGUUUAAAGGGAGCGUAGGCGGGCUGUUAAGUCCGUGGUGAAAGCCCUCAGCUCAACUGAGGAACUGCCAUGGAUACUAAUAGUCUUGAAUAUCGUUGAGGUUAGCGGAAUGGGUCAUGUAGCGGUGAAAUGCAUAGAUAUGACCCGGAACACCAAUUGCGAAGGCAGCUGGCUAAACGAUGAUUGACGCUGAGGC